GUGGCAGUCUUUAAGGUUCCAGCACUGAGCAGUGUGUUGCAACUCAUGUGACUCCACACAGAUUGAGACUGGUUCCUGCCGACAGGGACUGCAAAGGCAUCGGUUAUCCUGUGCGAUGGCUCCAUACAUC
Molecule: non-coding RNA, 130 nt
Organism: Notolabrus celidotus (New Zealand spotty)
Lineage: Eukaryota; Metazoa; Chordata; Actinopteri; Labriformes; Labridae
Source: RefSeq, a predicted model, not a curated record